GGGGGCGUACUGGGUUCGACGAAGGUACAUGAAGCAACGACUGCAUGUCGGGGGUCCAUCUCCCGUAAACGGUGGAAACACAACAAACGCCAACACUGAUCUGGCACUGGCUGCUUAAGCCACGUCCUUCCUGACCACGCCUGCCGGGCGGGAAAGGACGUCGACCAGGCGGGCUUGGCCGGCGGUCCUCCCGAGCCGCCGGUGAGACUCAGGGAUAGGUCCUACGGCGCGAUUCGCCGGGUUGAUGCGCCGCGGGGCCGAAACAGGGAAAGGCGCCUCCGGGCGCGGGUUCCCGCCACAACCCGGAUACGCAUGUAGACGUCGUUGUCGAAGGCUUUCGGACGCGGGUUCGAUUCCCGCCGCCUCCACCC
This 371-nucleotide transfer-messenger RNA is filed under the name Gammaproteobacteria bacterium. It matches the Rfam family "transfer-messenger RNA". From Rfam's summary of the family: Bacterial tmRNA, also known as 10Sa RNA or SsrA, is named for its dual tRNA and mRNA-like properties. Its role is to liberate the mRNA from a stalled ribosome. The record is from RNAcentral. Lineage: Bacteria; Pseudomonadati; Pseudomonadota; Gammaproteobacteria.